CGGGGGGGGGGCUUACCAUGCACGUCGAACGGAAGCGCCCUGCUUUUGUGGGGUGCUCGAGUGGCGAACGGGUGAGUAACACGUGAGUAACCUGCCCUUGACUUUGGGAUAACUUCAGGAAACUGGGGCUAAUACCGGAUAGGAGCUCCUGCUGCAUGGUGGGGGUUGGAAAGUUUCGGCGGUUGGGGAUGGACUCGCGGCUUAUCAGCUUGUUGGUGGGGUAGUGGCUUACCAAGGCUUUGACGGGUAGCCGGCCUGAGAGGGUGACCGGCCACAUUGGGACUGAGAUACGGCCCAGACUCCUACGGGAGGCAGCAGUGGGGAAUAUUGCACAAUGGGCGGAAGCCUGAUGCAGCAACGCCGCGUGCGGGAUGACGGCCUUCGGGUUGUAAACCGCUUUCGCCUGUGACGAAGCGUGAGUGACGGUAAUGGGUAAAGAAGCACCGGCUAACUACGUGCCAGCAGCCGCGGUGAUACGUAGGGUGCGAGCGUUGUCCGGAUUUAUUGGGCGUAAAGGGCUCGUAGGUGGUUGAUCGCGUCGGAAGUGUAAUCUUGGGGCUUAACCCUGAGCGUGCUUUCGAUACGGGUUGACUUGAGGAAGGUAGGGGAGAAUGGAAUUCCUGGUGGAGCGGUGGAAUGCGCAGAUAUCAGGAGGAACACCAGUGGCGAAGGCGGUUCUCUGGGCCUUUCCUGACGCUGAGGAGCGAAAGCGUGGGGAGCGAACAGGCUUAGAUACCCUGGUAGUCCACGCUGUAAACGGUGGGUACUAGGUGUGGGGUCCAUUCCACGGGUUCCGUGCCGUAGCUAACGCUUUAAGUACCCCGCCUGGGGAGUACGGCCGCAAGGCUAAAACUCAAAGGAAUUGACGGGGCCCCGCACAAGCGGCGGAGCAUGCGGAUUAAUUCGAUGCAACGCGUAGAACCUUACCUGGGUUUGACAUGGAUCGGGAGCGCUCAGAGAUGGGUGUGCCUCUUUUGGGGUCGGUUCACAGGUGGUGCAUGGCUGUCGUCAGCUCGUGUCGUGAGAUGUUGGGUUAAGUCCCGCAACGAGCGCAACCCUUGUUCACUGUUGCCAGCACGUUAUGGUGGGGACUCAGUGGAGACCGCCGGGGUCAACUCGGAGGAAGGUGGGGAUGACGUCAAGUCAUCAUGCCCCUUAUGUCCAGGGCUUCACGCAUGCUACAAUGGCUGGUACAGAGAGUGGCGAGCCUGUGAGGGUGAGCGAAUCUCGGAAAGCCGGUCUCAGUUCGGAUUGGGGUCUGCAACUCGACCUCAUGAAGUCGGAGUCGCUAGUAAUCGCAGAUCAGCAACGCUGCGGUGAAUACGUUCCCGGGGCUUGUACACACCGCCCGUCAAGUCAUGAAAGUUGGUAACACCCGAAGCCGGUGGCCUAACCGUUGUGGGGGAGCCGUCGAAGGGGGGAACGG
Molecule: ribosomal RNA, 1426 nt
Filed under: Cutibacterium acnes
Lineage: Bacteria; Bacillati; Actinomycetota; Actinomycetes; Propionibacteriales; Propionibacteriaceae
Description: bacterial SSU rRNA
Rfam family: Bacterial small subunit ribosomal RNA
Source: RNAcentral